GAUAGAUAGAUAGACAGAUAAAUGUAUUUAUCUGGUUUCCCACCUUCCUUUAGAGAGGCUCCAGAUCAAAAACAAACCCUACCCUCUGCUGCUUUUGUACCCCCCUCCCAGCUCUUGGCUGGACCUUGGUUCCUCCACACAAGAGGGCCUCCCAUAGCUGUGACCAACCUGUGCCCGGGAUCCUGCACACGGCUCCCGGGAUGGCCUGAAGGGUAAAAUAACGUUUUGUCCAAGUACAGUCUGUGUCCCAGAGACUUUAAAAAUGUCACCUCACUGAAUUCUCUCGGUAAUCCUGUGGAUACUUUCUGUCACCAUUUUACAGGCGAGAAUGCCAAGGUUCAGGAAGAGAAAAUGAAAUACACAACAACACACAGCCACUGAGGGAGAGAAGGAGAAUUUGAACCCAGAUCUGAGGUGAUUCUCGCCUUCAGACCGAUUUUUCAAACAUUUGGAAGAUUCCGUUCCUCAUCCUGGCCGAGGCGCACACACACAUCCACGCCCUCACUGACUUCCAACUCUUUCACAAUGAUGCCUCAGCAAAUCUACCUCACAGAUCUGGGAGUUAAUCUGUGAUUCAGCAAAGCAGUCAGAGAUACGGGGAUGUGGAGGAGAGUUGUCACAAACAUUCCAGCCACGAGAAUACAACAGUGCUCCAUAGCACCUGUCUGGGAGUUGUCUGGAGGGCUCUGUGUCUCUCUGGGAGGCUGCGGUGUGAGCCUACGUGCCCUGCAGCGUUCCAACUUGCUCUCAUUUCAACACGACGUGCGGUACCUCCAAUGCAUCUGUGUCUCGACCCACGUUCCUGCAGCCUCUGGGCACCCUACGAAGCGGCUGAGGCACAGCUGGACGACAACUGCAGUGAAAGACAGUCCCCAGGCUUCGGAGGUGGCACUUGAUGGAAAGCACACGGACACACAUGAGUUCAAGCCCCGCUCCAUCACUUACUUCCUGUGUGUCUUUGGACCAGUUGCUUACCUUCUCAGAGCUGGGAAUGCUGCGUGUAUAAAAUGCAGACAAUAAUGCUGACCUUCUUGUUGUAUGAUGAUUUAAACAGAUGACACAGGUAAAGUCCCUAGCAAAGCACCUGGCCCAGAUUCUCAAAAAAUGUAAAGACAAGGACUCUCUCCGUCUUUGACUGCCGGCACCCUACCCGGUGCCUGACACGAUGCAUGUUGGUUGUCCUCGUCUUUAAGCCGUGAGGAGCUGACUCCACUGAGAGGGGCAGGCUGAGUUUAGAGGGACAAGUAAGAGGGGAACCACUGGCUGAGCCCACGCAAAGCCACCUCUGUUGUCUGGUCUUCUCUCUCAUCCUUGGCUUUCCUCCAUUAGCAGGGAAAUGUCACCCUUGAAACUCAAACUUGUAUUGAGCUGGCCGGGGGCUCUAUGGGCACAGGGAACAAUGCACCUGUCAAAUGUCUCACCUUGGCAAGGCUUUGGGGGUCUCUCGUGGCUGCUUACGGCACGCACCCUUUAUUCUCUUGACCACUUCUGUUGGGAAAGCCGAUGUUCUUUAAUCUCUCACAUGAGUAUUCAUUACUGUCUGUCCAAGAGAGAUGUGUAAUAGACGUGGAAAUGCAGACAAUGUAAAGGCUUGUAAAUGGCAAGAAGGACGGAAACAGUCCUCUGAGGGGCUAUAGCUGGGCAAAGGGAGAAAGCGAGGGUCAGUUUUCAAUGUGUACUCUCCUGGACAGAUGUAGAUCAUUCUAAUGGCCGAUUGAUCUCGUAGCUCUGAAAAAUCUCCCACACAGAAAACAGAGGCCCAAUCUGGACCUCAGAUUGGCUGUUUGUUCUUUUAAAUAUGAUUGUGGGUAGACAGGGUAGUUUCCCCCUUUGCAUUGUCUCCUUUGGAAUCUCUUAUUUCAAAAGAAGAUAAAUAUCAAGUACUCCUGUGUUUUGCUGUUUGUAGCAGAUGCCGCGGAAGGAACGGAAGGCAACAGGGUAUGUUAAAAUCAUUUUAACCCAUCAGGGCUGCUUGGAGUAAUUUCCCUGGAAACCUGUGAAAAGGGUUUUCAAGAUGAACUCGAGACAGUUGUAAAUGUGUCCUUUUGUUGGAUAACAGAAGGUGAAUGCUAAUGCUGAGAGGGAAUUGGGGAGCCCGAUAAGUUCUAGUCUUAGAAGUUCUUAGAAGCUCUCUCUGCCCUCCAAGCCUCAGCCUUCUUGGAGCAGCAGAUGAGAGCCAGCACUGGGGGCUGAGACCUGUCCUGCAGCCAUGUGGUGGGAGGAGUGACCCAGGACCCAUCAGUUCAUCUCUGCCCACGGCCCUCGUGUCUGUAAAAUGAGAACACGACACGACGUGACGAGGUACCCCUAAACAGAAGAGCCAGCAAUGGGAAGCUGGGAGCUGCAGCACAGAAAUACGGGCCUGGGCAGACAACGUCACGGUCUUGUCCCCUCUCAGCCACCAACUCACUCAACCUAAAGGAAGUCCCCAAACUCUGCCAGCCUCAGUUUUCUUACGUAUACAAUGGGGGAUUGGAUAAAUGGAAGAGUGGCCAACUUUUUCUCUGUAGAGUCAGAUAGUAAAUAUAUUGGGCUUCAUGGGCCGUAUGGUCACCACUGUAACUACCCAACUCUGUCACUGUGGCAAGAAAACAGCGAAAGACAACGUGUAAGUGAAUGGGUGUGGCUGUUCCAAUAAAACUUUAUUCGUAAAAACAGGGAGCAGGCCGUAGGUCUCGGAUUAGAAGAUCAGGGAGUUUCUUUUUGUGUUCUUUUUAAUUCACAACAUUUCUUUUUUUAAAUUAACGUCUAUAUUGAGAUGUAACUGAUAUAUCUCAACAGAUACAGAUAGAUGUAGAUAUAGAUAUAAACUGCGCAUAUUUAAUAUUUCAAUAGAGUUUUUUCUAACUUAAUAAAGUUAUGUUGUAUCUAACGAAGGCAUAAA
Long non-coding RNA from Lynx canadensis (Canada lynx), 2884 nucleotides. RefSeq lists it as uncharacterized. The record is from RefSeq and is a predicted model, not a curated record. NCBI's taxonomy places the organism in Eukaryota, Metazoa, Chordata, Mammalia, Carnivora, Felidae. The transcript has 3 exons.